This 253-nucleotide ribosomal RNA is filed under the name uncultured bacterium. RNAcentral's name for it is "partial 16S ribosomal RNA". It matches the Rfam family "Bacterial small subunit ribosomal RNA", at positions 524 to 776 of the family's 1533-position model. The record is from RNAcentral.
UACAGAGGGUGCAAGCGUUAAUCGGAGUUACUGGGCGUAAAGGGCGCGUAGGCGGUCGUACAAGUGAGAUGUGAAAUCCCUGGGCUUAACCUGGGAACUGCAUCUUAGACUGUGCGACUAGAGUAUUGUAGAGGAUAGUGGAAUUUCCGGUGUAGCGGUGAAAUGCGUAGAGAUCGGAAGGAACACCAGUGGCGAAGGCGACUGUCUGGACAAAUACUGACGCUGAGGCGCGAAAGCGUGGGGAGCAAACAGG